This 826-nucleotide long non-coding RNA is filed under the name Rosa chinensis. Its description in RNAcentral is "sRNA RchiOBHm_Chr5g0058441". Lineage: Eukaryota; Viridiplantae; Streptophyta; Magnoliopsida; Rosales; Rosaceae. The record is from RNAcentral.
CUUUCUGAAAAAAAAUAAAAAUAUUCUACUUGGUUCUUAACUGUACGAGUCCAAACUUUUUAGAAUUCCAUUGCUUGACAGGCUCUAUUGCUAUCAAAACAAAGAAAUGUACUAUAUGGAUUGCAACUUUGGUCAAUAAUAUAGCAUCUCUAACCCAUUUAAGAGCAGGGGGAGAUAUCAGAAAUCAUAUCAAACGUUUAAAAUAUAAAGAAUGCAGGUGCAUACUAGCAAAAUAUUACAAUUAAAUGAAAGAAUGGCUCAGCAUAACUAGACUACAAAAGUACCACCGUGUCUUGAUUUGGAUUUUCAUUUCCCUGAUCCUAACUAUAAUUGACAAUUAUUAAAUAUAGUUAUGGCUUUGAAGACCAGGGCGACGAGGAAAAAAAGGUUCUUAGAAAGUGAUUGUAGUGCCACUAAUUUGUAUUGUGCUGAAAGUCAUGAUAAAAGCUUAUCAAGUCAGGGGACUGUGACAUGAGCAAUGAUCAGACUUUGGUUGCUGCUAUAGCUGAAAGUUCUUUUUCUUAUAGACACAUCAUCAAAACAUUGCUAGAACAGUGAUGCAGCCAACAACCAAAAAGAGACGAAUGGUGAAGAACCAGAAGAUUUGUACAGUUUUGAAUAUGAAAAUGUAAACGGAUUGGUAGUGCUUUGUAAACUCAAAACAAUUUUAUAGGCAGGAGUAAUCAACAAAAUGCCAAUAUCACUGCAUUAUAUAUGACUAAUAUUCAUUGCUUUGUAAACUCAAACAAUUUAAUAGGCAGGAAACUCUUAUUUCAUUACAAUCAAGUCCUUUUAAUUCAUAUCAGUCAUUAUUGUAAACUGUCCU